AUUUAAGUAGUUUAAUUUUAAAAUAUUGACUUGUGACGUCAGCGAUGCUUGUGGCCUUAGAUA
RNAcentral lists this transfer RNA (63 nucleotides) under Agrilus sp. AGR01. RNAcentral's name for it is "tRNA-His". Lineage: Eukaryota; Metazoa; Arthropoda; Insecta; Coleoptera; Buprestidae. The record is from RNAcentral.